This 376-nucleotide ribosomal RNA is filed under the name uncultured bacterium. Its description in RNAcentral is "bacterial SSU rRNA". It matches the Rfam family "Bacterial small subunit ribosomal RNA", at positions 524 to 898 of the family's 1533-position model. The record is from RNAcentral.
UACGUAGGGGGCGAGCGUUGUCCGGAAUUACUGGGCGUAAAGGGUGCGUAGGCGGCCUGAUAAGUCAGAUGUGAAAUACCGAGGCUUAACUUCGGGGAUGCAUUUGAAACUGUUGGGCUUGAGUGCAAGAGAGGAAAGUGGAAUUCCUAGUGUAGCGGUGAAAUGCGUAGAGAUUAGGAGGAACACCAGUGGCGAAGGCGGCUUUCUGGCUUGUAACUGACGCUGAGGCACGAAAGCGUGGGUAGCGAACAGGAUUAGAUACCCUGGUAGUCCACGCCGUAAACGAUGGAUACGAGGUGUAGGGGGUAUCGACCCCCUCUGUGCCGGAGUUAACGCAAUAAGUAUCCCGCCUGGGGAGUACGUGCGCAAGCAUGAA